This 427-nucleotide ribosomal RNA is filed under the name uncultured bacterium. RNAcentral's name for it is "bacterial SSU rRNA". It matches the Rfam family "Bacterial small subunit ribosomal RNA", at positions 355 to 774 of the family's 1533-position model. The record is from RNAcentral.
UGGGGAAUAUUGGACAAUGGGCGCAAGCCUGAUCCAGCCACGCCGCGUGAGUGAUGAAGGCCUUCGGGUCGUAAAGCUCUUUCGGCAGGAACGAAACGGCGAGCUCUAACAUAGCUUGCUAAUGACGGUACCUGAAGAAGAAGCACCGGCUAACUACGUGCCAGCAGCCGCGGUAAUACGUAGGGUGCGAGCGUUAAUCGGAAUUACUGGGCGUAAAGCGUGCGCAGGCGGUUGUGUAAGACAGGUGUGAAAUCCCCGGGCUUAACCUGGGACCUGCAUUUGUGACUGCAUAGCUAGAGUACGGCAGAGGGGGAUGGAAUUCCGCGUGUAGCAGUGAAAUGCGUAGAUAUGCGGAGGAACACCGAUGGCGAAGGCAAUCCCCUGGACCUGUACUGACGCUCAUGCGCGAAAGCGUGGGGAGCAAACA